Molecule: unclassified non-coding RNA, 315 nt
Filed under: uncultured fungus
Lineage: Eukaryota; Fungi
Description: partial contains 5.8S ribosomal RNA, internal transcribed spacer 2, and large subunit ribosomal RNA
Rfam family: 5.8S ribosomal RNA (bases 1-52)
Source: RNAcentral
AACGCACCUUGCGCUCCUUGGCAUUCCGAGGAGCAUGCCUGUUUGAGUGUCAUUAAAUUCCUCAAUCUCAUUCCUCUGGUUGGAGGGGUGGUAGGUUGGAUUUGGAAGCUUGCUGGCAUAUAUGUCAGCUCUUCUGAAAUGGAUUAGCAGGUGAAUCUACUCCAUGUGAGUGAGACCUGCAGCUUGGUAUUGAUAGUUGUCGUACCAGUUGCCAGUCUAGCUACUUGGUGUCAUCAGCUUUUAACCAUGUUUCUCCUGUAGAGACACUUUUGACAAUUUGACCUCAAAUCAGGUAGGACUACCCGCUGAACUUAA